GAAAUGCGAUACGUCAUGCGAAUUGCAAAACCAGUGAGUCAUCAAAACUUUGAACGCAACUUGCACUUCCCUCUGGGGAGUAUGUCUGUUGGAGUGCUUGUUCAUCCCCACCACAAACCCCAUUCCCAUGGGAUAUGUGAAGCCCACCUAUUUUUCCUUUGGGAUAAAUAGAGUGUAGAUGAAUUUAUAACAAAAUAUCCGAUCCUAGUAUUAAAAAUUUAAUACAGGAACGCGACGUCAUAGUUUUAUUACUUGAUUAUCCGUGUUUCUGUAUUCUAUUUAUUAGGUAUCAGUUAUUUUUUUCGAUCGAGCCUCCAAUCAGUCAAGAAUACCCGCUGAAUUUAA
RNAcentral lists this unclassified non-coding RNA (345 nucleotides) under uncultured fungus. RNAcentral describes it as "sequence contains ITS1". The stretch from base 1 to 99 matches the Rfam family "5.8S ribosomal RNA", at positions 50 to 154 of the family's 154-position model. Lineage: Eukaryota; Fungi. The record is from RNAcentral.